Molecule: long non-coding RNA, 461 nt
Organism: Dermacentor silvarum
Lineage: Eukaryota; Metazoa; Arthropoda; Arachnida; Ixodida; Ixodidae
Exons: 2
Source: RefSeq, a predicted model, not a curated record
GAUAUAAAACUGCGACCGUAGUCAGCCGUAGUUGCGCACAGCACGUGUGCCAUGGCGGCUGCCAUGUCAAGGCGAGGCGUCACGCGAGGUGUGCGUGUUAGUGAAUGAACGAUGUGUUUUUAAGGAACCCGUGGUGUUAGCGCCUGCGCAAUCUCAUUCGUGCAGUAAUAUAUUUGGAUAGUUUUAUCUAUGGAUGCUGUUAAUACUUCAAAACAACGCAAGGCAACUGUUUUACCCCUGUCCUUCGCGGCUUUGUGGAUCUAUCAGCGUGCAUCGAUGUGCAGCGUUUUCCCCGGCGCCGAUUUGCCAUCUCGAGGUUUUUUUAACCACUUCAUCAAAAGGACGUCCUCUGGUCGAAGUCAACGAAAAGCUCUCAAUCAAGAUUGCUGACCUGACGAAGAUCUCGAAAGAGGAAUCUGUAAAAAGAUAUGCUGUGCUAAUAAAUGCUUCUAGAAAUUUUA